CAAGCGAAUUCGGCAGGAAGAGACCAGCACCAUGGGCACUGGGCUCCGAGCAUAUUCGCACAUCUUCAAAACCAAGACCAGUGCUGCCCUGCUGAGCAUGCUCGUACAGGAGGGGUUUUGCAAUCCAAAGCAAGUGCCCGCCAUGGUGAGGUACAUCCACCAGUGGCUCAUGGCCAAUCAGUUUGUAGAGCACAGGCUGAACAGGACCCUGCUGUAUCUCACCAAAGCACAGCCAGCUGAUGUAGUCAUGACGCUCCUGCGUGUGGCCCCAUCCUGUGACAGAGCUGCUUUGACCAUGUGGAACAGCAUCAUGUGCUCGUCCAGGACUGCGGAGCCUGCGCUGCUGAUACUCCUGGAUGUGCUGAGGAGAUGGCCCGAGCACAGCACGUGCACCUCGGAUGGGGACAAAACG
Molecule: long non-coding RNA, 412 nt
Organism: Passer domesticus (house sparrow)
Lineage: Eukaryota; Metazoa; Chordata; Aves; Passeriformes; Passeridae
Exons: 3
Source: RefSeq, a predicted model, not a curated record